GGCCGCGGGAAUUCGAUUCAGGCCUAACACAUGCAAGUCGAGCGGUAGAGAGAAGCUUGCUUCUCUUGAGAGCGGCGGACGGGUGAGUAAUGCCUAGGAAUCUGCCUGGUAGUGGGGGAUAACGUUCGGAAACGGACGCUAAUACCGCAUACGUCCUACGGGAGAAAGCAGGGGACCUUCGGGCCUUGCGCUAUCAGAUGAGCCUAGGUCGGAUUAGCUAGUUGGUGAGGUAAUGGCUCACCAAGGCGACGAUCCGUAACUGGUCUGAGAGGAUGAUCAGUCACACUGGAACUGAGACACGGUCCAGACUCCUACGGGAGGCAGCAGUGGGGAAUAUUGGACAAUGGGCGAAAGCCUGAUCCAGCAGUGCCGCGUGUGUGAAGAAGGUCUUCGGAUUGUAAAUAGAUGUAAGUUGGGAGGAAGGGCAGUUACCUAAUACGUGAUUUUUGACGUACCGACAGAUAG
Molecule: ribosomal RNA, 465 nt
Filed under: uncultured bacterium
Lineage: Bacteria
Description: bacterial SSU rRNA
Rfam family: Bacterial small subunit ribosomal RNA
Source: RNAcentral